GUGUGUGUGUGUGUGUGUGUGUGUGUGUGUGUGUGUGUGUGUGUGCGCGCGCACGCGCGCGCACACGCGCUCAGUUGGAGGCUGUGUGGGUGUGGGGCACAGGCUGCCCCUAGGAGAGGGCAGAUGCAUAAUACUCUGUUUGUGCACUGAGAUCCCAGCUCCUGGGGUGGCCUCUGGCAACUGCUGAGGCCUCACAGUGAGAAAUCUGGAACAACAAAGGCUGGAGGACAAAAAGGUCUCUGGCCGGAGGGGCUGCUGCCUUUCACAGGGCCAAGAGCUUCACUUCUGAGGGACGCAGGACAACCAAAGAGUAGACGAGGGGGCUGAGAAGUGAACAGAGUCAAGCCACCAGUCAGCAGCCAGAUCUUGCUUACCCACCCCUUGUCAACAUCAGGUUCAAGUUAGCAUGCAUUUAUGGAGCACCUGAUAGGAGCUAAGCAUGGGCCCAGAGAGAACAGUGAGGAUCUGAACUGUUCACAAGCGGCUGGGAAGGCACAAUAACCAAUGCAUAAGAGCAGUUUCUAUCUGAAGUGUCAUCUGAGCAGAAUUCUAAAGGAUAAGCUGGAGUAAGAUAUGCGAAGAUAAGGGGAAAGAAAAUUCCAGUCAAAAAGAUGAGCAAUUGGAUAUGACUUUUUCAAAUAUAGAAACUGAUUGAUUUGUUUUCUGAUCUACUUCUUUGUUGUUCCCAAAAGAUGGACCAUGAACAUUUCCUUUUAACCUCUGGGCAAAUUGAAGAAUCAAUCAGAAGUGAAAAGAACUUCUCAGUUGCUAACCAUUAGAUUCUGAAGCUAAGGGGCUUCCAUGUCUGCUGUGAAAGGACAAGAAGGAGGCCUGGGGCUGUGGGAACUGCAUCAUGGCCGGAGGUCACUGGAGGCAGAGAAUGUGUCUUCCCCAGCAGAGAGUCCUCCAGACCAUCACAACAAGAGGCGUCUAGAUCACUACUCCCACAUUGGUCCCUACAUACCCCAAGGCAAGUAUCAGCACUCCAGAAAGAAAUGGAUUCUCUCACAAUGAAUGUAUAACCUUGCAUGAUUUUUAAGUUCCAAGGAUGGCAGAGACAUCUUGGAGCCAACAGGCCUAUGACUUGCAGAUUGAGAGCACCCAGAUGUGACCCUGAUUCUCCGUGUGGAAAACAUCCAAGGACAAGACCUCUUAGGCUUAUGAAGGAUUCAAGAACCUUGGCAUAACUCUAGAAACAGAGAAAUACAAGUUCAAAUCAAGAUGAGAAAAUACAAGAACUCAAUGUUCUUGCAAACCUCGGGCUGACAGCCGAUUUGUGCAGGUCACGAUGUGAAUAAGGGCAAAGCAGGACCUCUGCUCUGAGCAAAGUUACAAGAGCAGUACAGUGCUGGGGGGAUCGCCCUGUGGGCCUUGGCUUAGUCUCUAGUGAUAGGAUGAAAAAAAAAUGUACGACCUCAAAGUCUAUGGGGACACACCCAAUGUGUGAUGGAAGAGAGGAGGGAGGGACUCCAUAAUCUGUUAAAGUAUCCGGAAAAUCUUCAUGACUGACUUUGGAAGAUAGAAAGAAUCCGAGAAGUGAUGAAGGCCACAGAGUUGAGGUGGUGCAGAGUGUUUGCAAGGAGCUGGCAUGCCUGGACUACAGCAUAGCCAUGCCUGGCUUGGACAGGGGUUUAGAGGGAGGAACAGGACAUCCAAGGAAGAGGCCGAUGGGAUGGGGUCAGAGUUCCACCCGAUAAAGAAGAAGUGGAAAAGGCAGAAUAUAAAGUGAAAG
Molecule: non-coding RNA, 1732 nt
Organism: Peromyscus maniculatus bairdii (prairie deer mouse)
Lineage: Eukaryota; Metazoa; Chordata; Mammalia; Rodentia; Cricetidae
Source: RefSeq, a predicted model, not a curated record